Molecule: ribosomal RNA, 252 nt
Filed under: uncultured bacterium
Lineage: Bacteria
Description: partial 16S ribosomal RNA
Rfam family: Bacterial small subunit ribosomal RNA
Source: RNAcentral
UACGUAGGUCCCGAGCGUUGUCCGGAUUUAUUGGGCGUAAAGCGAGCGCAGGUGGUUUAUUAAGUCUGGUGUAAAAGGCAGUGGCUCAACCAUUGUAUGCAUUGGAAACUGGUAGACUUGAGUGCAGGAGAGGAGAGUGGAAUUCCAUGUGUAGCGGUGAAAUGCGUAGAUAUAUGGAGGAACACCGGUGGAGAAAGCGGCUCUCUGGCCUGUAACUGACACUGAGGCUCGAAAGCGUGGGGAGCAAACAGG